GUUUCACGUUACACAGGCCAUUAUUUUCUAACAGACUACCGAUUGCUGUUCCUUGAGAAUCGCUGGGUUUGCUACCUUUCCUUCCGACUGAACAGUCAGUCAGCCCUGUUUGCAGCUGAAUGCUGGAUUAACAGAUCCGUGCCUACGCAGCUACCACCUCGGCGUAGAAGCGCCAGCUUCGCCGAGCUCCGCCGAGCUCGGCCCAACGGUUCUCCCCAACGAAAAUAAAAUACUGAAGACAGAAGCGAGUCGCCCACGUCUUCUCAGUAAGAUUUCUAGCAGAGGUUCCAGGGAUACGCACGGCUGGGGAACAACACAGGGCUUUCUGAGACUUCAGAGGAGUGACCCAUACCAUCGUGCUCGCUCGCCCUGCGGGGGAGGAGAGGAGUCGCCCGUAAAGGAAUCGUGGGCCGUCGUGAAUUUACAGGCUUAACCUCAGAGGUGGAUCGAUGAAGGGUGACCGCCCCUACUUCAGAGGGAGAAAAAUCAACGUUUAAUUGCGCCCGACCUUCAUCUCAUUUUGCUCUGAUGUUCCUCUGAAUCCCUCCAGGUGUGUGCAGUGCGGAACCUGCCAUACCCAGUUAGGGGGGUCCCAGUGUGGUGCGUGAGAGGGGGGAUUUUGGGGCUCUGCCGUGCCUCCCCCGUUGGAUGAAUAAUUGGCUUCUCAGGAUUCAGCCCACACGAAGGUGACAGGAGGGGGGCGAUAAACAACAGGAGAGGCAGGGGCUUGGUGCUCUCCAGGUGACCCUCUAUAGGCACCAGGGGUGGGCCGGAUUAGAUGGGUUUCUGUGAGCGGGUUUACGGAUAGACCAUGUGACCAUUCCCAAUGGAAAUCUCUCCUCUGUUCGCAGAAGGAAUGUAGCAAUGUAACAAGGGAGGGAGAGAGAGAAGGAGAUUGAUACAGAGUAAUAGAAAGAAAGAGAUAGUCAGAGAGCUUGAAACAGGGAAGAAGAGACAGAUUGAUACAGGAUAAAUCUUCAGUUACUAUUCACAUUUAUACUGAGCGACGCCAUCUUGGCCAUUUUCUGCAAGGCCUUUUCUUGGGUUCUUCCCAUUGAAAUCUGUGUGCAGUUUCUAUGGUAACCGGGUGCCUCCACACACUGGCGUGACAAGGAUGGAGCAUCUGAAAAACCCCUUGAUGUCAGAGUUCCAAGCCCUCAGACACAGACCAGUUCGAGGGGCUUCUGAACCAAAGCACGUCUGUCAGGCUCUUAGGCCCCAGAGCUGCUGCCUAGCACACGACUUCUGGGGCCCCACAAAGGCUUUCCGCCAUAUUGCCCUGAAACACCCUGCCAGCUCCAGUGAUAGAAAUAUAUUUGCACAAUAAAAGGAAAAACAAAUACAACUUUCCU
This is a long non-coding RNA of Conger conger (European conger), 1352 nucleotides long. RefSeq lists it as uncharacterized. The record is from RefSeq and is a predicted model, not a curated record. NCBI's taxonomy places the organism in Eukaryota, Metazoa, Chordata, Actinopteri, Anguilliformes, Congridae. The transcript is spliced from 4 exons.